Molecule: long non-coding RNA, 1310 nt
Organism: Serinus canaria (Common canary)
Lineage: Eukaryota; Metazoa; Chordata; Aves; Passeriformes; Fringillidae
Exons: 3
Source: RefSeq, a predicted model, not a curated record
CACACCUGGGCUCAGGGGGCUGAGGGGGGACCCAGGGGGCCCAGGUGAAGGGCAGGGGUGCCCAGGUGAGGGGAAGGCAUGCCAAGGUGUGCCCAGGUGAAGGGCAGGGGUGCCCAGGGGUGCCCAGGUGAAGGGCAGGGGUGCCCAGGCAAGGGGCAGGUGUGCCCAGGUGAAGGGAAAGACAUGCCCAGGUGUGCCCAGGUGAGGGGAAAGACAUGCCCAGGUGAGGAGAAAGCAUGCCCAGGUGUGCCCAAGUGAGGGGAAAGCAUGCCCAGGGAUGUCCAGGUGAGCCCAGGUGAGGGGCAGGCAUGUCCAGGUGUGCCAGGGUGAGGGGCAGGUGAGCCCAGGUGAGGGGAAGGUGUGCCCAGGCAUGCCCAGGUGAGGAGCAGGCGUGUCCAGGUGUGUCAGGGUGAGGGGCAGGGAUGCCCGGGGGGGGGGCAGGUGAGGGUCAGGGGUGCCCAGGUGAGGAGAUGCACCAGGUGAGGGGCAGGUGUGCCCUGGUGAGGUGAAGGCAUACCCAGGUGUGCCCCGGUGAGGGGCAGUUGUGCCCAGGUGAGCCCAGGCAUGCCCAGGUGUGGGGAAGGUGUGCCCAGGUGAAGGGAAGGUAUGCCCAGGUGAAGGGAAGGUAUGCCCAGGUGUGCCCAGCUGAGGGGCAGGUGUGCCCAGGUGUGCCCAGGUGAGGGGCAGGCGUGCCCAGGUGUGCCCAGCUGAGGGGCGGGUGUGCCCAGGUGUGCCCAGGUGUGCCCAGGUGUGCCCAGCUGAGGGGCAGGUGUGCCCAGGUGUGCCCAGGUGAGGGGCAGGUGUGCCCAGGUGUGCCCAGGUGAGGGGCGGGUGUGCCCAGGUGUGCCCAGGUGAGGGGCGGGUGUGCCCAGGUGAAGGGAAGGUGUGCCCAGGUGUGCCCAGCUGAGGGGCAGGCGUGCCCAGGUGUGCCCAGGUGAGGGGCAGGUGUGCCCAGGUGUGCCCAGGUGAGGGGCAGGUGUGCCCAGGUGAGGGGCGGGUGUGCCCAGGUGAAGGGAAGGUGUGCCCAGGUGUGCCCAGCUGAGGGGCAGGCGUGCCCAGGUGUGCCCAGGUGAGGGGCAGGCGUGCCCAGGUGUGCCCAGCUGAGGGGCGGGUGUGCCCAGGUGUGCCCAGGUGUGCCCAGCUGAGGGGCGGGUGUGCCCAGGUGUGCCCAGGUGUGCCCAGCUGAGGGGCGGGUGUGCCCAGGUGUGCCCAGGUGUGCCCAGCUGAGGGGCGGGUGUGCCCAGGUGUGCCCAGGUGUGCCCAGGUGUGCCCAGGUGAGGGGCAGGCGUGCCCAGGUGUGCCCAGGUGAG